RNAcentral lists this unclassified non-coding RNA (148 nucleotides) under soil metagenome. RNAcentral describes it as "partial internal transcribed spacer 1". The record is from RNAcentral.
CCGAGUUUACAACUCCCAAACCCCUGUGAACAUACCUUAUGUUGCCUCGGCGGAUCAGCCCGCGCCCGUAAAACGGGACGGCCCGCCAGAGGAACCCUAAACUCUGUUUCUAUAGUGGAACUUCUGAGUAUAAAACCAUAAUAAAUCA